This 382-nucleotide ribosomal RNA is filed under the name uncultured bacterium. RNAcentral describes it as "bacterial SSU rRNA". It matches the Rfam family "Bacterial small subunit ribosomal RNA", at positions 30 to 414 of the family's 1533-position model. The record is from RNAcentral.
AUUGAACGCUGGCGGCAUGCCUUACACAUGCAAGUCGAACGGCAGCACGGGAGCAAUCCUGGUGGCGAGUGGCGAACGGGUGAGUAAUAUAUCGGAACGUGCCCAGUCGUGGGGAUAACGUAGCGAAAGCUACGCUAAUACCGCAUACGAUCUAUGGAUGAAAGCGGGGGAUCGCAAGACCUCGCGCGAUUGGAGCGGCCGAUAUCAGAUUAGGUAGUUGGUGAGGUAAAGGCUCACCAAGCCGACGAUCUGUAGCUGGUCUGAGAGGACGACCAGCCACACUGGGACUGAGACACGGCCCAGACUCCUACGGAGGCAGCAGUGGGGAAUUUUGGACAAUGGGCGCAAGCCUGAUCCAGCAAUGCCGCGUGCAGGAUGAAGG